UUAAUUCUCCGAGAAUUCAAC
This 21-nucleotide non-coding RNA is filed under the name Caenorhabditis elegans. Lineage: Eukaryota; Metazoa; Nematoda; Chromadorea; Rhabditida; Rhabditidae. The record is from RNAcentral.